UCUAUUGUGGCAGAAUAUGCAGUAAAUUUAAGAUUUAUAUAUAAAAGUUAGUCUUUUUUUUAGAA
Molecule: transfer RNA, 65 nt
Filed under: Trialeurodes vaporariorum (greenhouse whitefly)
Lineage: Eukaryota; Metazoa; Arthropoda; Insecta; Hemiptera; Aleyrodidae
Description: tRNA-Leu
Source: RNAcentral